Molecule: non-coding RNA, 339 nt
Organism: Lonchura striata (white-rumped munia)
Lineage: Eukaryota; Metazoa; Chordata; Aves; Passeriformes; Estrildidae
Source: RefSeq, a predicted model, not a curated record
ACACAAAUAUAAAGACAGCAUGUGACUGGUAUGGACCACAUCACUCCAGGGCCUGUACCGCAUGCCUCGUGAAUUAAAUCAUGUCAUUGUCAGGAGUCAGCGGAGCUGCGGGCGGAUAACUCUUCCUGACGCAUUGCGUGAGAGAACAGACACGCACCAAGAAGUUCUGCUCCUGCUGUCCCUCUGGAGCACUCCUGGCAAUUUUGGGGGAAGGCUUCUGCCACUGUGCAGCUCUCCUCUCCCUCCAAAGGCAAACCCCGCUCCCAGCUAAGUUUUGUAUCUCUUUGCACUCCCACAAAAGCCAAUAAAGUUUUUUCCUGUCUUUGAUGGUGAGACCAA